AGCGAACGCUGGCGGCAGGCUUAACACAUGCAAGUCGAGCGGGCCUUUCGGGGUCAGCGGCGGACGGGUGAGUAACGCGUGGGAACGUGCCCUCUGGUUCGGAAUAACUCAGGGAAACUUGAGCUAAUACCGGAUACGCCCUUUUGGGGAAAGGCUUGCUGCCGGAGGAUCGGCCCGCGUCUGAUUAGCUAGUUGGUGAGGUAACGGCUCACCAAGGCGACGAUCAGUAGCUGGUCUGAGAGGAUGAUCAGCCACACUGGGACUGAGACACGGCCCAGACUCCUACGGGAGGCAGCAGUGGGGAAUAUUGGACAAUGGGCGCAAGCCUGAUCCAGCCAUGCCGCGUGAGUGAUGAAGGCCUUAGGGUUGUAAAGCUCUUUUAUCCGGGACGAUAAUGACGGUACCGGAGGAAUAAGCCCCGGCUAACUUCGCG
This 433-nucleotide ribosomal RNA is filed under the name uncultured bacterium. RNAcentral describes it as "partial 16S ribosomal RNA". It matches the Rfam family "Bacterial small subunit ribosomal RNA", at positions 29 to 507 of the family's 1533-position model. The record is from RNAcentral.